UGGGGAAUAUUGCACAAUGGGCGAAAGCCUGAUGCAGCGACGCCGCGUGCGGGAUGAAGGCCUUCGGGUUGUAAACCGCUUUUAAUUGGGAGCAAGCGAGAGUGAGUGUACCUUUUGAAUAAGCACCGGCUAACUACGUGCCAGCAGCCGCGGUAAUACGUAGGGUGCAAGCGUUAUCCGGAAUUAUUGGGCGUAAAGAGCUCGUAGGCGGUUUGUCACGCCUGGUGUGAAAGUCCAUCGCUUAACGGUGGAUCUGCGCCGGGUACGGGCAGGCUAGAGUGCAGUAGGGGAGAUUGGAAUUCCCGGUGUAACGGUGGAAUGUGUANAUAUCGGGAAGAACACCAAUGGCGAAGGCAGAUCUCUGGGCUGUUACUGACGCUGAGGAGCGAAAGCAUGGGGAGCGAACAGGAUUAGAUACCCUGGUAGUCCAUGCCGUAAACGGUGGAUGCUGGAUGUGGGACCCUUCCACGGGUUCCGUGUCGGAGCUAACGCGUUAAGCAUCCCGCCUGGGGAGUACGGCC
This 521-nucleotide ribosomal RNA is filed under the name uncultured bacterium. RNAcentral's name for it is "partial 16S ribosomal RNA". It matches the Rfam family "Bacterial small subunit ribosomal RNA", at positions 355 to 887 of the family's 1533-position model. The record is from RNAcentral.